RNAcentral lists this ribosomal RNA (781 nucleotides) under Corynebacterium sp. CCUG 71335. Its description in RNAcentral is "bacterial SSU rRNA". It matches the Rfam family "Bacterial small subunit ribosomal RNA", at positions 468 to 1250 of the family's 1533-position model. The record is from RNAcentral. Lineage: Bacteria; Bacillati; Actinomycetota; Actinomycetes; Mycobacteriales; Corynebacteriaceae.
AGUGACGGUACCUGGAUAAGAAGCACCGGCUAACUACGUGCCAGCAGCCGCGGUAAUACGUAGGGUGCGAGCGUUGUCCGGAAUUACUGGGCGUAAAGAGCUCGUAGGUGGUUUGUCGCGUCGUUUGUGUAAUACCGCAGCUUAACUGCGGGGUUGCAGGCGAUACGGGCAUAACUUGAGUGCUGUAGGGGAGACUGGAAUUCCUGGUGUAGCGGUGGAAUGCGCAGAUAUCAGGAGGAACACCGAUGGCGAAGGCAGGUCUCUGGGCAGUAACUGACGCUGAGGAGCGAAAGCAUGGGUAGCGAACAGGAUUAGAUACCCUGGUAGUCCAUGCCGUAAACGGUGGGCGCUAGGUGUGAGUCCCUUCCACGGGGUUCGUGCCGUAGCUAACGCAUUAAGCGCCCCGCCUGGGGAGUACGGCCGCAAGGCUAAAACUCAAAGGAAUUGACGGGGGCCCGCACAAGCGGCGGAGCAUGUGGAUUAAUUCGAUGCAACGCGAAGAACCUUACCUGGGCUUGACAUGCACCGGAUCGCUGCAGAGAUGUAGUUUCCCUUGUGGCUGGUGUACAGGUGGUGCAUGGUUGUCGUCAGCUCGUGUCGUGAGAUGUUGGGUUAAGUCCCGCAACGAGCGCAACCCUUGUCUUAUGUUGCCAGCAUUUGGUUGGGGACUCAUGAGAGACUGCCGGGGUUAACUCGGAGGAAGGUGGGGAUGACGUCAAAUCAUCAUGCCCCUUAUGUCCAGGGCUUCACACAUGCUACAAUGGUCGGUACAACGCGCAGC